AGUUUUUGUUUUUUUAACUUUAUUGUUCAAAAUGUAAGUACAGCCAGGAGAGCAAACAUAUUACAUGCAUUUUACACAAAAACAUUCAGGUUUCCACAACUUUCAUACAAACAUACAGCUUUCUUAAGGCUUUCAGAGAUUUAACUGAGAUACAUUUCAAUUUGUUUGAUUAACACGGGGGGGGGGGGAUAGAAGAUGAAUAGAAUUAGCAUUUAUGAAUAUACAAUUUGCCAAAUAUAAUAAUAACAUUAAUUAUUAGUUUUUAUUUGAGUCCAAGUUGUUAUUAUAAAACCCAAAAAUUAUAUAUUCGAAUUUCAGAGUGAAGUUGGGGUGAAUAUGAUUUCUGAUAAAUUGUAAACACUUCUUCCAAAAAAAUUCUAAUUUCAGUACAAUUCCAAAAAAGAUGGUUAAUUGCUUUUGGAUGUUCUUUGCAAAAGGGACAGUUAGGAUCAAUGUUUUAAUGUAUCUUAGCAUGAAUUGAUUAGUGGGGUAAAUUUUGUGAAUGAUUUUAAAAGAAACUUCUUUCAUUUUUUAUUUUAUUUAUAAUAGAUUUUUGGGUCACACUCCAGCCCUUUCUCCAAAUGCUGCCGGGAACAAAACGUCUUCAGUAGUUUCGAAGCCGCAAAAUAACACGAGGAGAACGAACAACCGUGACGUCUUACCCGAGCUCCAGUAAAGUGAAAUUUGAUUGGUCACGUUCUGCAACGCGACCAAUCAGCUGUCAAGUUACAGCGCUCCGCGCCGCCAUGACGCAGUCUGUUUGAAAACAAUGGCGGCACGGAGCGUUAGGUCCGAAGAUGAAGUCGGAAAAAAGAAUAAAAGUUGACCGUAGGAGACAUGGACACCCUCUAGUAAGCUAGGCCGACCGCGUCCUCACAGCGAAAAGACCUCAGAGGAUCCGGGAGUUGGCGGCAGUGACCCGGCCGAGCCGAUAAGUUCAGGAAAAGAGUCUUCAUCUGAAGCGAUUGAAACAUAAUCACAGAGGCUGGACGACGUG
Oryzias latipes (Japanese medaka) is the source of this 997-nucleotide non-coding RNA. The record is from RefSeq and is a predicted model, not a curated record. NCBI's taxonomy places the organism in Eukaryota, Metazoa, Chordata, Actinopteri, Beloniformes, Adrianichthyidae.